Rosa rugosa (rugosa rose) is the source of this 937-nucleotide long non-coding RNA. RefSeq lists it as uncharacterized. The record is from RefSeq and is a predicted model, not a curated record. The transcript is spliced from 3 exons. Lineage: Eukaryota; Viridiplantae; Streptophyta; Magnoliopsida; Rosales; Rosaceae.
AUUGUUGUACUUUUUUUUUUUUUUUUUGAAACAGAUAUGGCAAUGGCUCUUCUAUAUUUACUACAUCUGGGGUUGCUGCACGGAAAUUUCAGACAGAGAUUGAGGCUGGGCAGGUUGGUAUCAACGUUCCUAUUCCAGUUCCCUUGCCCUUUUUCUCUUUUACCAGCAACAAGGCAUCCUUCGUAGGGGAUUUGAACUUCUAUGGCAAGGCAGGUGUCAACUUUUUCACCCAGAUCAAGACAGUAACACAGCAAUGGUGAAAUUUACCAGGCAGCAGUGUUUCUUAAAAGGCAUAGUUGUCUACAAAAUAUUGUACCAAUCUGGAACUCAUUACAAUAAAUCAAUGUCAAGGUCUCUUUCCCUUUAUACGUAGGCCAUGUACCACAUUUGGUGUUUUCUUUUUAAGAAGUGGGCAGUUGGUAUAGGGCCUAAACCCCAAUAGCUAAGCGAAUAUAAAAGCAACGACCUGUAUUAGUUAAGAUACACCUAUUAAUGUUGUUGCAUUGGAAGCUCAGAGUUAGCUUUGGCCAAGAGAAUAUGUGGUCAUACUCGAGCAAAAAAUGACUUAAACUAAAGAAUUUACCAACGGAAACAGAGAAAAAGGAAUUAUUACUGCCCCUAGUCUUUGGUUUAGCUCUGUUCAGUGUAGAGUAGACUGGAAGUUGUUCUAACAUAACAUCCAAGUUCUGCUGGAAGAAUCAGUUUGCUUUGGAAUUCAAUUGUACAUCCUAGUAAAUUGGACUAUGGGUAUAGGGCAACAAAUUCUAGGUCGAAAGUGGAAGACCCCAUGCCGGAGAUGUGAGAAAACGAGAUCUCUUCAAACAAGAGAGUUGAUGUCAAGUAUGAUCAUCUUCAGAUGCCAAGGAAUGCUGCAUCCACUUUCCAUUUUAGCAUAAUUUUCAAAUAUCCUCCAUCUUGUGCGCAGAGGAAACCUUCU